RNAcentral lists this ribosomal RNA (492 nucleotides) under uncultured bacterium. Its description in RNAcentral is "partial 16S ribosomal RNA". It matches the Rfam family "Bacterial small subunit ribosomal RNA", at positions 29 to 507 of the family's 1533-position model. The record is from RNAcentral.
AGUGAACGCUGGCGGUAGGCCUAACACAUGCAAGUCGAACGGCAGCACAGUAAGAGCUUGCUCUUACGGGUGGCGAGUGGCGGACGGGUGAGGAAUACAUCGGAAUCUACUUUUUCGUGGGGGAUAACGUAGGGAAACCUACGCUAAUACCGCAUACGACUUACGGGUGAAAGCAGGGGAUCUUCGGACCUUGCGCGAUUGAAUGAGCCGAUGUCGGAUUAGCUAGUUGGCGGGGUAAAGGCCCACCAAGGCGACGAUCCGUAGCUGGUCUGAGAGGAUGAUCAGCCACACUGGAACUGAGACACGGUCCAGACUCCUACGGGAGGCAGCAGUGGGGAAUAUUGGACAAUGGGCGCAAGCCUGAUCCAGCCAUACCGCGUGGGUGAAGAAGGCCUUCGGGUUGUAAAGCCCUUUUGUUGGGAAAGAAAAGCAGCAGGUUAAUACCCCGCUGUUCUGACGGUACCCAAAGAAUAAGCACCGGCUAACUUCGUG